UUUCCAUUUCGUCCAUUUCUUCCAAAGGAGAUCCUGAAUGUUUGUCCCAAGUUGAAGGGGUACCACGGAUGCCAUUUCCUUCAUGGUAGCUGACAAAAGAGUGAGAGAAAUGUUAAAGAAGAGGGAAAAGGAAAAAGAGAAAGAGUACGAGAGAGAGACAGAUAAUUAUGCAUUCGUGAACAGUAUACAACCACAUGUCGCAGAUGGGUCCUCCAUUUGUGAACAGCGUUACACUGUUCACAGAUGGGUCUUUUUUGUUUUUUUAUUGUUUCUCACACGGCCGGAAAGGGCAAAAUGACGAUUCUGCUUCUUUUUUAUCUCUCUCUCUCUCUCUCGUUUUGUCAGGCUCUCUGGUCUCUCCUUGGUGAUCUCUCUUCUCUGUUUUGAGUUAGGAAUCGUGGUGUUUGGUUGUGGGAGAUUUGAUGAUGAGCGAUUGGCUGAUAAGAACAAGGGUUUUAAGAUCUUCUUCCUUCUUUCUUCACGAAGCCCUCAUCGAAUUGGGUAGAAUUUGUUUGGGGUUUUUCUUCUUCACGACCAAAAGGCCGCCCUUCAAUUCAUCUUCUUCUUGUUCUUGAGUUUUGGAAUUCGAACAAACACAUGCAACGGCGUUUCCACUGGCAUUAGGGACCUUUUCAGAGAUAAUUCUGCCAUAAAUGCUGGAGCAAACGGGAAGAGCUGAACCUUUGGCCCCUGGGAGCAAUUUCUUCACUUGGGCAAGAGUGGUUGCGGCACUAGACAACACAAGAUUAUACGUGACACGUGUUAGCUCUUUGGCAUCUCUUGCACGAGCCCCACGAGGGUCCGAUCUGAGGGACUUUUGGCACAGACCAAAGUCGUGUGUUUUUUCACAAGUGUUUGAUAUCAAAUCUGCUCCAAUCUCCUUCAUUGAUUGCUGUAGAAGAACGAGUAUUAGAAAUGCUGCCCAUGAGUUCACAAACUUCAUCUUUCUUCUUCUUCGGCUUACUUUUGAAUGCUGCAAAUUUCUGUACGUACAGUCGAUAGAUUAAUGUAUCCUCAAGCUGCAAAUC
Molecule: long non-coding RNA, 1028 nt
Organism: Alnus glutinosa
Lineage: Eukaryota; Viridiplantae; Streptophyta; Magnoliopsida; Fagales; Betulaceae
Exons: 3
Source: RefSeq, a predicted model, not a curated record